GCACAUGUGGGUGAGUCUGGUCUUAAACCGCCGCACUCAAGAUGCGGUCCCUCGCGGGUCACCGGUUCAAAUCCGGUCGUGUGCA
RNAcentral lists this transfer RNA (85 nucleotides) under Emiliania huxleyi virus 99B1. RNAcentral's name for it is "transfer RNA-Leu (CAA)". It matches the Rfam family "tRNA". Rfam says of the family: Transfer RNA (tRNA) molecules are approximately 80 nucleotides in length. Their secondary structure includes four short double-helical elements and three loops (D, anti-codon, and T loops). Further hydrogen bonds mediate the characteristic L-shaped molecular structure. tRNAs have two regions of fundamental functional importance: the anti-codon, which is responsible for specific mRNA codon recognition, and the 3' end, to which the tRNAs corresponding amino acid is attached (by aminoacyl-tRNA synthetases). tRNAs cope with the degeneracy of the genetic code in two manners: having more than one tRNA (with a specific anti-codon) for a particular amino acid; and 'wobble' base-pairing, i.e. permitting non-standard base-pairing at the 3rd anti-codon position. Lineage: Varidnaviria; Bamfordvirae; Nucleocytoviricota; Megaviricetes; Algavirales; Phycodnaviridae. The record is from RNAcentral.